This 441-nucleotide ribosomal RNA is filed under the name uncultured Neocallimastigomycetes. RNAcentral describes it as "LSU rRNA". It matches the Rfam family "Eukaryotic large subunit ribosomal RNA", at positions 107 to 542 of the family's 3401-position model. The record is from RNAcentral. Lineage: Eukaryota; Fungi; Neocallimastigomycota; Neocallimastigomycetes.
GCUCAAAUUUGAAAUCUUCAAGGUCUUACCUUGACGAAUUGUAGUUUAAAGAAGUGUUUUCUGUUGGUGUUUUGGUAAAAGUUCUUUGGAAUAGGACAUCAUAGAGGGUGAGAAUCCCGUAUUUGACCAUUACUUCCAGCGUUGUGAUACACUUUCAAAGAGUCGGAUUGUUUGGGAAUGCAGUCCAAAAUGGGUGGUAAAUUUCAUCCAAAGCUAAAUAUUGGCGAGAGACCGAUAGCGAACAAGUACCGUGAGGGAAAGAUGAAAAGAACUUUGAAAAGAGAGUUAAACAGUACGUGAAAUUGUCAAAAGGGAAGCGUUUGACACCAGUGUUGUUUUCUCGAAAAUCAAUUAAAAAAAGUCGGAUUUUGUAUUGUUAAGACCUUAUCAGCUUACUGUACUCUUUUCUUGCUUUUUUUAAUGCACUUUUCGUUUAACAAG